RNAcentral lists this ribosomal RNA (460 nucleotides) under uncultured bacterium. Its description in RNAcentral is "partial 16S ribosomal RNA". It matches the Rfam family "Bacterial small subunit ribosomal RNA", at positions 338 to 795 of the family's 1533-position model. The record is from RNAcentral.
CCUACGGGCGGCAGCAGUGAGGAAUAUUGGUCAAUGGACGCAAGUCUGAACCAGCCAUGCCGCGUGCAGGAAGACGGCUCUAUGAGUUGUAAACUGCUUUUGUACGAGGGUAAACGCAGAUACGCGUAUCUGUCUGAAAGUAUCGUACGAAUAAGGAUCGGCUAACUCCGUUCCAGCCGCCGCGGUAAUACGGAGGAUUCAAGCGUUAUCCGGAUUUAUUGGGUUUAAAGGGUGCGUAGGCGGUCGGAUAAGUUAGAGGUGAAAUCCCGAGGCUCAACUUCGGAAUUGCCUCUGAUACUGUUCGGCUAGAGAGUAGUUGCGGUAGGCGGAAUGUAUGGUGUAGCGGUGAAAUGCUUAGAGAUCAUACAGAACACCGAUUGCGAAGGCAGCUUACCAAGCUACUUCUGACGUUGAGGCACGAAAGCGUGGGGAGCAAACAGGAUUAGAUACCCCAGUAGUC